AGUGAACGCUGGCGGUAGGCCUAACACAUGCAAGUCGAACGGCAGCACAGGAGGGCUUGCUCUCUGGGUGGCGAGUGGCGGACGGGUGAGGAAUACAUCGGAAUCUACCUUUUCGUGGGGGAUAACGUAGGGAAACUUACGCUAAUACCGCAUACGACCUACGGGUGAAAGUGGGGGACCGCAAGGCCUCACGCGAUUAGAUGAGCCGAUGGCCGAUUAGCUAGUUGGCGGGGUAAUGGCCCACCAAGGCGACGAGCGGUAGCUGGUCGGGGGGGGUGAUCAGCCACACUGGAACGUAGGCACGGUCAAGACUCCUACGGGAGGCAGCAGUGGGGAAUAUUGGACAAUGGGCGCAAGCCUGAUCCAGCCAUACCGCGUGGGCGAAGAAGGCCUUCGGGUUGUAGAGCCCUUUUGUUGGGAAAGAAAUCCUGUCGAUUAAUACUCGGUGGGGAUGACGGUACCCAAAGAAUAAGCACCGGCUAACUUCGUGCCAGCCGCCGCCGUAA
RNAcentral lists this ribosomal RNA (506 nucleotides) under uncultured bacterium. Its description in RNAcentral is "partial 16S ribosomal RNA". It matches the Rfam family "Bacterial small subunit ribosomal RNA", at positions 29 to 523 of the family's 1533-position model. The record is from RNAcentral.